UCGCGGGCUGCACUGGUUCCGGCUCCCUGUCUCUCCAUAGGGAGUCCGGACAGAUCACUGACAUGCUAGACUAAACCACAUGGAGUUAACAGGGCCACCAGUCUCCGAGCACAGGCUGAGUGGUAGUAUAAUACUCCAACAUGC
This is a small nucleolar RNA of Acipenser ruthenus (sterlet), 144 nucleotides long. RefSeq annotates it as small nucleolar RNA U109. Lineage: Eukaryota; Metazoa; Chordata; Actinopteri; Acipenseriformes; Acipenseridae. The transcript has a single exon. The record is from RefSeq and is a predicted model, not a curated record.